This 491-nucleotide ribosomal RNA is filed under the name uncultured bacterium. RNAcentral's name for it is "partial 16S ribosomal RNA". It matches the Rfam family "Bacterial small subunit ribosomal RNA", at positions 29 to 507 of the family's 1533-position model. The record is from RNAcentral.
AGUGAACGCUGGCGGUAGGCCUAACACAUGCAAGUCGAACGGCAGCACAGUAAGAGCUUGCUCUUACGGGUGGCGAGUGGCGGACGGGUGAGGAAUACAUCGGACUCUACUUUUUCGUGGGGGAUAACGUAGGGAAACUUACGCUAAUACCGCAUACGACCUACGGGUGAAAGCAGGGGAUCUUCGGACCUUGCGCGAUUGAAUGAGCCGAUGUCGGAUUAGCUAGUUGGCGGGGUAAAGGCCCACCAAGGCGACGAUCCGUAGCUGGUCUGAGAGGAUGAUCGGACACAGUGAACUGGAAAAACGGCCAAAACUCUAACGGGAGGCAGAAGUGGGAAAUAUUGGACAAUGGGGGAAGGCUUGAUCAAGCCAAACGGCGUGGUGAAGAAGGCCUUCGGGUUGUAAAGCCCUUUUGUUGGGAAAGAAAAGCAGCAGGUUAAUACCCCGCUGUUCUGACGGUACCCAAAGAAUAAGCACCGGCUAACUUCGUG